AGCUCCAAUAGUGUAUAUUAAAGUUGUUGCGGUUGAAAAGCUCGUAGUUGGAUUUAUGUGAAAGCUGGCCGGUCCGCCCUUUGGGUGAGUAUCUGGUUUGGUUGGAGCAUACUAUUGGAGGGCGUGGCUGCACUUGACUGCGUGGCACGCAAACCAAAACUUUUACUUUGAGGAAAUUAGAGUGUCCCAAGCAGGCUGCUCAUGCCUUAAAUACAUUAGCAUGGAAUAAUAAGGUAGGGCUUUGGUUGUAUUUUGUUGGUUUCUACAAUUGAGGUAAUGAUAAACAGGGAUACUUGGGGGCAUACGUAUUUAACUGUCAGAGGUGAAAUUCUUGGAUUUGUUAAGGACGGACUACUGUGAAGGCAUUUGCCAAGAAUGUUUUCA
RNAcentral lists this ribosomal RNA (384 nucleotides) under uncultured eukaryote. RNAcentral describes it as "SSU rRNA". It matches the Rfam family "Eukaryotic small subunit ribosomal RNA", at positions 587 to 972 of the family's 1831-position model. The record is from RNAcentral.